GAUGAAGAACGUAGCGAAAUGCGAUAAGUAGUGUGAAUUGCAGAAUUCAGUGAAUCAUCGAAUCUUUGAACGCACAUUGCGCCCUUUGGUAUUCCUUAGGGCAUGCCUGUUCGAGCGUCAUUUAAACCUUCAAGCUAAGCUUGGUGUUGGGUGACUGUCCGCUUCACUGCGGACUCGCCUCAAAAUUAUUGGCGGCCGGUACAUUGGCUUCGAGCGCAGCAGAAACGCGAACUCGGGCCCGUCGUAUUGGCUCCCAGAAGCUAUCUUCACAAUUUUGACCUCGGAUCAGGUUGGGAUACCCGCUGAACUUAAGCAUAUCAAUAAGCGGAGGA
This 332-nucleotide unclassified non-coding RNA is filed under the name soil metagenome. RNAcentral's name for it is "partial contains 5.8S ribosomal RNA, internal transcribed spacer 2, and large subunit ribosomal RNA". The stretch from base 1 to 120 matches the Rfam family "5.8S ribosomal RNA", at positions 35 to 154 of the family's 154-position model. The record is from RNAcentral.